RNAcentral lists this ribosomal RNA (687 nucleotides) under Triticum aestivum (bread wheat). Its description in RNAcentral is "partial small subunit ribosomal RNA". The record is from RNAcentral. Lineage: Eukaryota; Viridiplantae; Streptophyta; Magnoliopsida; Poales; Poaceae.
AUGAGUGAGACGGUGAAGGUGAUGAGCACUUUUGGCAGCAUAUACGGCCAUCGUCCGGAGGUGGCCCUGAGGCUCAAGGGAAUACCUUACGAGCUGCUCCUGGAAGACCUGCCCAACAACAAGAGCGAGUUGCUGCUCACGCACAACCCUGUCCACAAACUGGUCCCCGUGCUCCUACACGGCGAUAAGUCCAUCUGCGAGUCGCUCAUCAUCGUCGAGUACAUCGACGAGGCCUUCGAGGGGCCGCGGCUGCUGCCGGCUGACCCCUACGAGAGGGCCACGGCCCGCUUCUGGGCGCAGUUCAUCGACCAAAAGUUUGCUAGGCCGUUCUGGAUGUCGAUAUGUAUGGCUGAUGGUGACAAGGAAGAGGAGGAGAACUUCUUGAAGGAAGCCAAGAAGAAUCUGCUGCUUCUCGAGGGGCAGCUCAAGGGGAACAGGUUCUUUGGAGGCGACUCCAUUGGCCUUGUGGACAUAGCUGCAAGUGGGUUAGCUCGCUGGCUUGGAGCCUUCGAAGAGAUCUCCGGGGUUAAUCUACUCACAGAUGAACAGUUCCCUGCUCUGUGCCGCUGGGCGAAAGAAUAUGCCGGCGAUGAGCGUGCUAAGGAGUGCCUGCCGAACAUGGAUGAACUGGUCGCCAAGAUCACUGCAGUGAAGAAGUUUCUAGCAAUGGCAGAGGUUCAGAAGUGA